RNAcentral lists this transfer RNA (73 nucleotides) under bacterium. Its description in RNAcentral is "tRNA-Met". It matches the Rfam family "tRNA". From Rfam's summary of the family: Transfer RNA (tRNA) molecules are approximately 80 nucleotides in length. Their secondary structure includes four short double-helical elements and three loops (D, anti-codon, and T loops). The record is from RNAcentral.
GCCGAUGUAGCUCAGUGGUUAGAGCGAAGCACUCAUAACGCUUAGGUCGGAAGUUCAAUUCUUCCCAUCGGCA